RNAcentral lists this transfer RNA (73 nucleotides) under Planctomycetaceae bacterium. RNAcentral's name for it is "tRNA-Ala". It matches the Rfam family "tRNA". From Rfam's summary of the family: Transfer RNA (tRNA) molecules are approximately 80 nucleotides in length. Their secondary structure includes four short double-helical elements and three loops (D, anti-codon, and T loops). Further hydrogen bonds mediate the characteristic L-shaped molecular structure. tRNAs have two regions of fundamental functional importance: the anti-codon, which is responsible for specific mRNA codon recognition, and the 3' end, to which the tRNAs corresponding amino acid is attached (by aminoacyl-tRNA synthetases). tRNAs cope with the degeneracy of the genetic code in two manners: having more than one tRNA (with a specific anti-codon) for a particular amino acid; and 'wobble' base-pairing, i.e. permitting non-standard base-pairing at the 3rd anti-codon position. The record is from RNAcentral. Lineage: Bacteria; Pseudomonadati; Planctomycetota; Planctomycetia; Planctomycetales; Planctomycetaceae. RNAcentral also lists the same sequence under 2 other names.
GGGGCCGUAGCUCAGUUGGGAGAGCGCCUGGUUUGCAUCCAGGAGGUUGAGGGUUCGAUCCCCUUCGGCUCCA